This 47-nucleotide non-coding RNA is filed under the name Burkholderiales bacterium. RNAcentral describes it as "Guanidine-II sequence". It matches the Rfam family "Guanidine-II riboswitch aptamer (mini-ykkC)". From Rfam's summary of the family: Simpler in structure and has fewer highly conserved nucleotide positions than the ykkC-yxkD leader. Despite this each of its two stem-loop structures directly bind free guanidine. Therefore, mini-ykkC RNA motif represents a distinct class of guanidine-sensing RNAs. Lineage: Bacteria; Pseudomonadati; Pseudomonadota; Betaproteobacteria; Burkholderiales. The record is from RNAcentral.
AGGCGAGGACGACCUCGCCACACCACCACAAAGCAGGGACGACCCUG